RNAcentral lists this unclassified non-coding RNA (183 nucleotides) under Cladosporium sp. RNAcentral describes it as "sequence contains ITS1". The stretch from base 136 to 183 matches the Rfam family "5.8S ribosomal RNA", at positions 1 to 48 of the family's 154-position model. The record is from RNAcentral. Lineage: Eukaryota; Fungi; Ascomycota; Dothideomycetes; Cladosporiales; Cladosporiaceae.
CCGGGAUGUUCAUAACCCUUUGUUGUCCGACUCUGUUGCCUCCGGGGCGACCCUGCCUUCGGGCGGGGGCUCCGGGUGGACACUUCAAACUCUUGCGUAACUUUGCAGUCUGAGUAAACUUAAUUAAUAAAUUAAAACUUUUAACAACGGAUCUCUUGGUUCUGGCAUCGAUGAAGAACGCAG